Molecule: ribosomal RNA, 504 nt
Filed under: uncultured bacterium
Lineage: Bacteria
Description: partial 16S ribosomal RNA
Rfam family: Bacterial small subunit ribosomal RNA
Source: RNAcentral
AUUGAACGCUGGCGGCAGGCCUAACACAUGCAAGUCGGACGGUAGCACAGAGAGCUUGCUCUUGGGUGACGAGUGGCGGACGGGUGAGUAAUGUCUAGGGAUCUGCCCGAUAGAGGGGGGUAACCACUGGAAACGGUGGCUAAUACCGCAUAACGUCGCAAGACCAAAGAGGGGGACCUUCGGGCCUCUCACUAUCGGAUGAACCCAGAUGGGAUUAGCUAGUAGGCGGGGUAAUGGCCCACCUAGGCGACGAUCCCUAGCUGGUCUGAGAGGAUGACCAGCCACACGGGAACUGGAACACGGUCCAGACUCCUACGGGAGGCAGCAGUGGGGAAUAUUGCACAAUGGGCGCAAGCCUGAUGCAGCCAUGCCGCGUGUAUGAAGAAGGCCUUCGGGUUGUAAAGUACUUUCAGCGGGGAGGAAGGCGGUGAGGUUAAUAACCUUGCCGAUUGACGUUACCCGCAGAAGAAGCACCGGCUAACUCCGUGCCAGCCGCCGCGGUAA